UACAGAGGUCUCAACCGUUGUUCGGAUUCAUUGGGCGUAAAGGGUGCGUAGGCGGUCGCGCAAGUCGGAUGUGAAAUCUCAGGGCUCAACCCUGAAACUGCAUUCGAUACUGCGUGGCUAGAGUGCUGGAGAGGAGACUGGAAUUUACGGUGUAGCAGUGAAAUGCGUAGAUAUCGUAAGGAAGACCAGUGGCGAAGGCGAGUCUCUGGACAGCAACUGACGCUGAGGCACGAAGGCUAGGGGAGCAAACAGG
Molecule: ribosomal RNA, 253 nt
Filed under: uncultured bacterium
Lineage: Bacteria
Description: partial 16S ribosomal RNA
Rfam family: Bacterial small subunit ribosomal RNA
Source: RNAcentral